This 429-nucleotide ribosomal RNA is filed under the name Gemmatimonadota bacterium. RNAcentral describes it as "Gemmatimonadetes bacterium partial 16S ribosomal RNA". It matches the Rfam family "Bacterial small subunit ribosomal RNA", at positions 355 to 776 of the family's 1533-position model. Lineage: Bacteria; Pseudomonadati; Gemmatimonadota. The record is from RNAcentral.
UAGGGAAUCUUCGGCAAUGGACGAAAGUCUGACCGAGCAACGCCGCGUGAGUGAAGAAGGUUUUCGGAUCGUAAAACUCUGUUGGUAGAGAAGAACAAGGACGUUAGUAACUGAACGUCCCCUGACGGUAUCUAACCAGAAAGCCACGGCUAACUACGUGCCAGCAGCCGCGGUAAUACGUAGGUGGCAAGCGUUGUCCGGAGUUAUUGGGCGUAAAGCGAGCGCAGGCGGUUUAUUAAGUCUGAUGUGAAAGCCCCCGGCUCAACCGGGGAGGGUCAUUGGAAACUGGGAGACUUGAGUGCAGAAGAGGAGAGUGGAAUUCCAUGUGUAGCGGUGAAAUGCGUAGAUAUAUGGAGGAACACCAGUGGCGAAGGCGGCUCUCUGGUCUGUAACUGACGCUAAGGCUCGAAAGCGUGGGAAGCAAACAGG